RNAcentral lists this ribosomal RNA (257 nucleotides) under Cambaroides japonicus. RNAcentral describes it as "partial 12S ribosomal RNA". The record is from RNAcentral. Lineage: Eukaryota; Metazoa; Arthropoda; Malacostraca; Decapoda; Cambaridae.
UAUGUUCUUGAAAUUUAAAGAAUUUGGCGGUAUUUUAGUCUAGUUAGAGGAACCUGUUUUAUAAACGACAUUACACGCAUUAUCUUACUUUUUUUUGUAUUCAGUUUGUAUACCGUCAUUAUCAGAUAAUUUGAGAAAUAACAUUAUUGGAAUCAUAGUUUGAGUAUAUUAGAUCAAGGUGCAGCUUAUAAAUAAGAAAAAAUGGGUUACAAUAAAAUUUAUUUAUAACGGAGUUAUAAUUUAAAGAUUUUAAUGAA